RNAcentral lists this ribosomal RNA (756 nucleotides) under Flavobacterium sp. Its description in RNAcentral is "bacterial SSU rRNA". It matches the Rfam family "Bacterial small subunit ribosomal RNA", at positions 90 to 849 of the family's 1533-position model. The record is from RNAcentral. Lineage: Bacteria; Pseudomonadati; Bacteroidota; Flavobacteriia; Flavobacteriales; Flavobacteriaceae.
AGAGACCGGCGCACGGGUGCGUAACGCGUAUGCAAUCUACCUUUUACAGAGGGAUAGCCCAGAGAAAUUUGGAUUAAUACCUCAUAGUAUUAUGAAAUGGCAUCAUUUUAUAAUUAAAGUCACAACGGUAAAAGAUGAGCAUGCGUCCCAUUAGCUAGUUGGUAAGGUAACGGCUUACCAAGGCUACGAUGGGUAGGGGUCCUGAGAGGGAGAUCCCCCACACUGGUACUGAGACACGGACCAGACUCCUACGGGAGGCAGCAGUGAGGAAUAUUGGACAAUGGGCGCAAGCCUGAUCCAGCCAUGCCGCGUGCAGGAUGACGGUCCUAUGGAUUGUAAACUGCUUUUAUACGAGAAGAAACACUCCUUCGUGAAGGAGCUUGACGGUAUCGUAAGAAUAAGGAUCGGCUAACUCCGUGCCAGCAGCCGCGGUAAUACGGAGGAUCCAAGCGUUAUCCGGAAUCAUUGGGUUUAAAGGGUCCGUAGGCGGUUUAGUAAGUCAGUGGUGAAAGCCCAUCGCUCAACGGUGGAACGGCCAUUGAUACUGCUGAACUUGAAUUAUUAGGAAGUAACUAGAAUAUGUAGUGUAGCGGUGAAAUGCUUAGAGAUUACAUGGAAUACCAAUUGCGAAGGCAGGUUACUACUAAUGGAUUGACGCUGAUGGACGAAAGCGUGGGUAGCGAACAGGAUUAGAUACCCUGGUAGUCCACGCCGUAAACGAUGGAUACUAGCUGUUGGGAGCAAUCUCAGUGGCUA